UACGGGGGGUGCAAGCGUUAAUCGGAAUUACUGGGCGUAAAGGGCGCGUAGGUGGUUACUUAAGUCAGAUGUGAAAGCCCCGGGCUCAACCUGGGAAUUGCAUUUGAUACUGGGUAACUAGAGUGUGGUAGAGAGUAGCGGAAUUUCUGGUGUAGCGGUGAAAUGCGUAGAUAUCAGAAGGAACACCAAUGGCGAAGGCAGCUGCUUGGGCCAACACUGACGCUGAGGCGCGAAAGCGUGGGGAGCAAACAGG
This 253-nucleotide ribosomal RNA is filed under the name uncultured bacterium. RNAcentral describes it as "partial 16S ribosomal RNA". It matches the Rfam family "Bacterial small subunit ribosomal RNA", at positions 524 to 776 of the family's 1533-position model. The record is from RNAcentral.